Molecule: long non-coding RNA, 1808 nt
Organism: Phragmites australis (common reed)
Lineage: Eukaryota; Viridiplantae; Streptophyta; Magnoliopsida; Poales; Poaceae
Exons: 3
Source: RefSeq, a predicted model, not a curated record
UGGGAAGCCGGAGGUAGGGAUCGCCAAUUUCCAUCGCUUCUCACAUCGUCCAUGCUUACUUCGCAGUUCCUGGCGCGAGCCCCUGUCCCUCGCAGCGCCUCCCUCCCGUACCUGUCCUCGGCCACCCGCCCCUCUCUCCCUUAGUUCCUUUGGCUGGUGCACCGUUCUUUGCACCUUGCAGCUGGUUGAACCCUCAUCAAUCAGUCAGAUUCGAAUCUCAUUUCCGCAGGUCUAGGCAGUGGGCACGAAUCCUUUGUGCUUCAGGUGGUAGGAAUUCUCUGCAAAUCGGGUUCUUUGUCGAAGGCUGCCAUCUUCGUGGUGCACUAGAUACAUUGCCCUUCAAUUUGCUUGGGAACAAAUUCAGGUUGUGGGCUAUGACAGUUUCAGGAUUCUAUAUAUGCAUAUCUGUAGAUGGCCUAUGACAAGUAUGUAAAGUUUUUAUUUCUGCCUAUGCUAAUGAAUAUCUCCUUUUCUAGAAGUUUCCAUGAUGAGAUCAAGAAAGUACUAGAGUCUAAUAGGCUUUCUGAAGUACUGGAGUCUAAUAGUCCGUAUCAGGCCUGCAAAUAGUCAAUACAAUACUUCCUGACAUGAUUACAGGCUGCGUUUGGGUUCCCAUUCUAUUUUGCCGUGAUCUGGCUCAUAACAUUUUGCCAUGGUCGUAUGUUGAUGCAAUUCCUGAUCAACGCCUGCAAGCAUCACAGUCCCUUCCUGCAAGCAGGCAAGGCAAAAACUUUGUAGUUUUUGCCAGGCCUUUAGCCUUUACAAACACUAUAUUUCAGGUUUUUGCUAAUUUGCUUAUUAAGAUUAAUUCCUGAAUAUUCAACUGUUUAUGCGAAUCUAUUGACAUUAAUCUUAUUGGUUCUUUUGAAAAAAUGGUCUGUCUUCGAUUUCUGUAAGGAGGUUAGACUAAAAGUUGAGCAAACAAGGUAUUUGUAAUCAAAGUGCAAGAUUCUGGAUUCCUUCAUCUUCAAACACCAUUAAAUUUUAGUAUUUUGUAAACUACCUACAAUCAAGUGGGUAUUGAUGUUCCCCUCUGCUACAUUCCUUCUGUUUGGUUGAAAUAGGAUGUUUGUGCUCCUUUCAUAUGAUCUUUGUACGAUCAUUCUAAGAUGUAAUGUGCUGUGCUGAUUCAAAUGGAUCAAGUUUUAUGCUGGCCUAAUGAUGGCUUGAAAGGUAUUCAUAAUGAUAUUUUCAAAAGAUUUCUAAAAACCCAAUACUUCAUUUGAAACUCUUCAAUAGUCUAUAUGAAGGUUCAUCGUUCUCACCCGCGGGAUCUUAUUGGAGCCUUGGGUGCAUAGCUCUUCUCUUCUAUGUGCCGCUUCUUUAAUGGAAAGGGAUUUUCAUCUCACGUGAUUAGGGUUGCUUAGUCGAUGUGAGGGCAAGCUUGUCUUCAAGAUUAGACUUCUAUACAGGUUAGUGCAUGUAAAACCUCUCUCAAGUUUUACCUUUGGUCCAUGUUUUUGGUUCAAUGAAAACUUUCUGGUUCAUAUUCAGUUAACAUCUGUUUUUGCUCUGUGGAGAAUUGGACAAUUUUACAUCUGAUUUUACUGCACUGUGUUGUCUAUUAAAUAAUUGCCACAUCUAUACUGUAUUGUGUUGUUGCUGUUAUUACAAUUUAUUGAUUGGUGCCUAUAUCUGCUAAACCUUCUUCAAGAUGCAUAUUCAAGUGCACAAAAAACGCUACUAUUGUUCUCUUUAGACAGUCAAGUCAUCAAAAAAAAAAAAAUCCCGUUGGCGUGGUGCAUAUGUCAACUUGCAAUAGCUACCUUUAAAAGCAUGCUUAAUUGCUCUUACUGUAUGCCAGCCUA